AUUUUCAAGGUGGGAAAACAUCAUUUUGAAAUUCAAAGUUACACCUGUAAUUCCAUUGAAAAGGUAGAGACAAGUCGUUCUCAGGUUGAAACUUCGAAGGGCACGUCUACUUCCACAGUAAACAAAACCCAAUAAAUAUAUAAACAAUCACUUUUGAAAGUACGAGUAGAUAUAGCACAAUAAAAAAAUUUACAAAUUCAAAACCCUAAACCCUAAAUUUAUUUUGAGAAAUAAAAACCAUAACUCCAAGUUUUCUUUUUUAAAAAUUUCAUAUGGAAAAAUGUUUUAUUUUAAUUUGCACUUGUUAUUUAUUCUAUUAUAAUUUUGCUCUUUUUAGUAAACAACACCUUUUCCUCAUUUUUUUUGUCCUGCUUUGAGUUGUAGGAGUAGAGGUAUACUCAUGGAAGAUGAAUAUUCAAAGUAUACACAUUAUCGUUUUGGAGAUGUAUUGAAAUUUACACCUUUUUAAUUCCAUUGAAAAAGUAAGAGAAAAGUAGUUGUGAAGUUGAAACUUCAAAAACCACUUUUCAAAACCCAAUGAAUCACGACUCCGUCCAUAAGAAAUCAAAUUCCAAAGAGUAGAUGGAAAAUCAACAUACUCAUCCUUCAAAGUCAUAUGAAUCUAUCAAUCUAUCAGUAACAACACUAUCGAUCAUUAAUAAUAUAUUUUUUUAUAUUUACAAUUAUGCUCGACGAUUCAUAAUUAUUAGAGAUAAAGUCUUACCCCACUGCAAUGAACUUAAGUAUAUACACAUAGUAUGAAGUAAAUGAAUAUUCAAAGUAGGACAUCUAUCAUAUUUUAAAACAUAUAUAUUAAAAACUUGACCUUUGAUUCCAUUGAACAAGUAGAGAAAAGUAGUUCUGAGUGUUGAUUAACAACUGGCAUUUGACUAAUAAUCAACAAGCAAAUCAUGGUUUUGCAGCAAUCUCCAAGAAUAAUCAAUCAAUCUCUCUCAAGGUUGAUUAAUCAAGGUAGCAGCCCAUGAUUUUUGGCAUAAAUCAGCAGUCAAAUACACAUGAAUGAUGAAUUAUUCCAAAAUUCAAUAUUUGAUUUUGGUGCAAAUUCCGUUACUCAGCUUGAAACUUCAAACAGACCAAAGUCUUCCAUUCACAAUAAAUUACUACGACUACUUUACUAUAUGAUUGUUUACAUGCUUUCUUUUCAAUUAAUGUUUAAUUAUUGUUAUAAAAGAGAGUACACAAUUGAAAUUAAAAUGUUUAAAAGUAGAAGGAUCCUACCAAAUGUUGAAACUUCAAAGACUACCAAGUCUCCAUCCAUAGUAAAUCAAACCCAAUAAAUAUAUGUUAUUACAGUAGACAUAACACAAUUGAAUUCAAUUUUUGGAGUCGAUCGAUCUACCAUUUAUAGGAUUCUACAAAUAUAAUGAUACAUUUUGCUAUACUUACUAGUUUUUUUUUUUAAAAAUUAUGCUGCACACAAUUAAUUAUUCAAUCUGAAAGUGAAAUAACUUCUAAGUAUAUACAUGGUAUAAAGAAAGUGAGUAGUCAAAGUAGGACACCAUAAUUUUGAAGUAUAUUAAAUUUCACUUUUAAUUCCCAUUGAAACAAGUAGAGAAAAGUAUAGUUAUUUGUCAGCUAGAACAAACCCUAUUCGUAGUUAAUAUAUAAUAUAUACAUAUGAUAUAUGUAAUAGAGCAAAUAUCUUAUCCAAACACCAAACUCUCCAUUAUGACCAACCAAAUUAAACACUCAAUAAUUCCACUUCCACUUGUGCCAAAAUCAGUUGUUUUGCUUCUUUUCUUAACAAUCCUUUGUAAAACAAGUGCCAUUAACAUUGAAACUGAGGCUCUGUUGAAAUGGAAAGCAAGUUUGGGAAAGCAAUCAAUUCUAGACACAUGGGAGAUUCUUCCAUCAAACUCAUCAAGCUCCUCCUCCAAAGCUUCAAAUCCAUGUCAAUGGACGGGAAUUACUUGCAACAGUGCAAGCAGUGUCACACAUAUCAAUUUGAUAAACACUGCUUUGAAUGGUACUCUUCAAACCUUCAGCUUCUCUUCAUUUCCCAACCUUCUUUGCUUGAAUCUCAACUCGAAUAAUUUUAAUGGAUCCAUUCCACCCUCCCUUGGACUUCUCAAUAAGCUCGAAUUUCUUGAUCUCUCCACGAACUCCCUCACUGGUACUCUCCCUUCUUCUCUUGCUAAUCUCACUCACCUCUACCAUCUUGACGUCUCCAAUAAUUACAUCACCGGAGGCUUGCAUCCGAGCUUCUUUCCAACUGAAAAUUCAAAAUUUGGCCUGAGAAGUAUGGAGAAGUUCAUUAUGCAAAGCACCAUGGUAAGUAAAAUAUCUGUAAUGAGAGCUGAGAAAAUAAAGUUCUAAAUUUCGUUAUCUCUCCAUGUAUACUCCCUCAGAGUUGUACUUGCUUUUUUGUCAUAUCUACUAAAUGGAAAAAGUGUUUGUGUAAAUCCCUAAACUCAAAUUGUCACCUCCUAGAAUUUCCCUAAAAUUUUUAUUCUCUACGUAUGAAUUUAUGCUCCAUCUGACAUAAAAUUCUAACUUCCACCAUACUCAGAUUGGAGGGGAGCUUACCGAGGAGAUAGGAAAUAUGAAGUCUCUAAGCAUCAUAGCUUUCGAUGACUGUAAAUUCUACGGCCUAAUUCCUAAAGCUAUAGGAAACUUGAGAAAUUUAACUGUACUUCGUCUCAAUGGUAAUGGUAAUUUCAGUGGUGAAAUUCCUGAAGGUAUUGGAAAAUUGACAAAAUUAUUUGAUCUAAGGCUGUUUGGUAACAAGUUAAGUGGGCCAUUGCCUCAAGACUUGGGAAUUUCUUCACCUUUGGUCGAUGUUCAUAUUUUUGAGAACAACUUUACGGGUCCUUUGCCCCCAGGUUUGUGCACCCAUGGCCAGCUUGUUAACUUCGCUGCAUUUACCAACUCUUUUACAGGUACUAUUUUCGAUUUUUUUUGUGUAUAAGAGUGAAAUUUAGUAUCAGUUUGGCAAUGUUCUUGGUUUUAAGAAAUACUUUUUAAAGUUAUUGAAAGUGGUGUUCGGUAAUUAUUUCGUUUUUUUGUUUCUCGUUAUUUAGAAAGAACCUGAAAGGAUAUAAACAAGAAAUAAGAAACAAAAACAUUUAGAAAGAACCUGAAAGGAUAUAAACAAGAAAUAAGAAACAAAAACAUUGAGCAUUUAGAAAAGAAAAACUAUUUUUCUUAGUUUCAAGUUUAACAAACAUAUAUGCUAGUUUGCUAAAAUGAACAUAGCUUAAGGAUAUAUAAUUGACAGGUAUGUACUAUAUCUGUUUUAAGUUUAAGAUUUUCUACUUGUAGUAUAUACCAAAAACACAUAAAAAGAUUUUCUAUUAUUCAUGUUUGUUACGAAACCCUGUUUUUUGUUUUUGAAAAACUAAUUUUCUUUUUAAUAAAAAAGUGUGUUUAGUAACAGAUUUUUUUUUUUUUUUUUUGUUUUCUAAACAAGAAGUUAACUUGAUUUUAAAACAAGGAAGGAAAAUUGAAAAUGAAAAAAAAAGAAAAAAAAUUUAAAAGAUACAUUUUGUUUUGAAAACACCAAACAAAAUCCAUUAUCAAACCUAUAUGGUUUUUGUUUUUAAUGAACAAAAAUUUAAAAAGUAGAAAAAAUUGAAAGGUUUAGCAAUCGGGGUCUCAUUUAUUUAAUUAAUUUAUGUAUUCAUGGUUGGUUCAAAUUUUACAGGUCCGAUUCCUAGCUUCAAAAAUUGCUCAGAGUUGCGUAGGCUUCGCUUAGAACACAAUCAAUUAACAGGUAAUCUGGAUGAAGCUUUUGGUGUUUAUCCAAAUUUAACUUACAUUGACUUGAGUGACAAUAAACUGACUGGAAACCUCUCUCCAAAUUGGGGGAAAUGCAAGAGUUUGACCAAGUUGAGCAUCGCCACCAACAUGGUUACUGGUGAAAUUCCAAAAGAAAUUACUCAAUUAAAGAAUUUAGAAGCCCUUGAUCUCUCCUUCAACAAUUUCUCUGGACUGAUACCGGAGAAUAUCGGAGAUUUAUCGUCGUUAUCGUCUCUACAGUUGCAAGGGAACCGCCAACUAUCUGGAAACAUACCACUGGAUAUCGGUAACCUUUCGAAUCUCGAAUCGCUCGAUCUGUCGAUGAACAAGAUUGAAGGUUCGAUCCCUAAGCAAAUUGGAGAUUGCUCAAGGCUUCGAAAUCUAAGCUUGAGUACGAACCGGUUGAAUGGUUCGAUCCCAUAUGAGAUAGGGAAUAUCUUAUCCUUGCAUGAUUUGUUGGAUUUGAGUAACAAUUCGUUGGUUGGGGAAAUUCCUUCAUCACUUGGGAAGUUGAUGCAUUUAGAGAGAUUGAGUUUGUCUCAUAAUCAUCUUUCUGGUGAAAUCCCUAAUUCCUUAAAGGAUAUGAUGGGAUUAGUGAGUAUAAAUCUUUCAUUCAACAAUUUAAGUGGAUCUCUUCCUUCUGGUGGUGCCUUUGACAAAGCUCAGCUACAAGAUUUUGUUAACAACACAGAUUUAUGUGGAAAUAUUGAGGGCAUGCAAAAAUGUUAUGUUUCCAUGGCAGAAUCCAAAAAUAAAAGGUACUAAACUCAUCCCUAAACUCAAAUGUUUGAUAUUUUUUCUUUUUCCUUUUCUUAAAUUAAAUAAUAAUAACUACAUUAAUAUAAAUAAUAAUCACUCACACGAUUUCAAAUAUAGAAAAAAUGAACCAAAAUGUUUAUAAUAAGCAUUAAACUUUAACUAGUAAAAUAAUAAUAUGUUUAUGUAUUCGUAUUAACUAGGCAGUAGAUAAUUGAUAUAGUCCAAAUUAUUGAAAUAUUUGUUCUAGCAUUCAAUUGAGUAUGAAAAAAACAUUAAAUUAGAGUUGAAUUUCGGUUAGUCAAUUGAUAAGUUUUUUGAGAUAUUUACUAAAUAUAGUUUAUUUUAAUUUGUGCAUUAACCAAGAUAAAAAUUUGCAAAGAUCAUACUUUUGUUAAAAUCUGUAAGCUUGGACAGAUUCUUUAACAUUUAACAUUUUUUUUGUAUGAAAAAGAGUGAAAGAUUUAUCCAUAAAAUAGAUGAACUACUUUUCUUAUUGUUAAUGGUUUUGAAAUGAAAUCUAAUAUUAUUGAUUAGGGUAUUACGAUAGUCUGGUUAACGUGUUGUGGUAGACUUUCACUACAUUUUUACAGUAGCACUUUUAUUAUCAACUUUCAUACCUAAACCAGUUUAUUUCUACUUUGAGUUUUUUUCUUCAGUAAAAAGAUCUACUUUGAGAGUUGAGUUUCAACCAAGUGUCUCGUUACACUAAUGUAUAUUGAUGUGUUUCUUUGCUCGUAUAUUUGUCAUGAUUUUUUUCUUAUGUAGAAAAAUGCUUAACUAUAUAUCAUAUCGCACAUUUUGGAUGGCAUAUUUAAUCUUUUGUUUAUAUAUCAUAUCAGAUGGCAGAAUCUGGUGAUUAUUCUUGUUCCAACUAUAGUAAGUACAUUAGUAUUCUCUCUAAUACUAUUCGGGGUCAUUUCAUGGUUCCGACGAGAUAAAGAUACGAAACGAUCAAACCCAAAAAGGGGACCAAAAUCACCAUUUGAAAACUUGUGGGAGUACGACGGGAAGAUAGUAUAUGAUGACAUAAUCGAAGCAGCGGAGCAUUUCGAUGACAAAUACUGCAUCGGAGCAGGAGGGUCAGGAAAAGUUUACAAAGUCGAAAUGUCAAGUGGUGAUGUAUUUGCGGUGAAGAAGCUCAACUUUUGGGACAGUGAUAUGGGGAUGGAGAACUUGAAGAGUUUCAAAAGCGAAGUAGCGACACUAACCGAGAUCCGUCAUCGAAACAUAGUUAAGCUUUAUGGAUUUUGCUCGAGAGGCGAACACACGUUUUUGGUAUACGAUUUCAUCGAAAGAGGGUGCUUAUGGGAAGUUUUGAGAAGUGAAGAGAACGCAAAAGAGGUUGAUUGGGUGAAGAGAGUUGAGAUAGUGAAGGGUGUGGCUGAGGCUUUGUGUUAUUUGCAUCAUGACUGUGUUCCAGCGAUCGUCCACCGUGACGUGACCUCGAAGAAUGUUUUGCUGGAUGUGGAUUUUGAAGCUCAUGUGGCGGAUUUUGGAACUGCAAGGUUUUUGAAGUUUGAUGCUUCGCAUUCCACUGGUGUUGUUGGCACUCAUGGCUACAUGGCACCAGGUUAGUAUAAUUUCAUUUUAGUUACUAUGCUUUUCUUAUGAUUUCCUUAGAACAUAUGAAUUUAUCUUUUGUCUAUAAAAAAAACUUCCUACUCCCUUCUACUUUUACUUGUAUAGAUUGUGAUAAACCCCUGCUAUGUCUAAAGUACUUGGACAGGAAAUACCAUUUUAAUUUAGUCUUAGUAUUUUGGACUUCGAUUCAUUGUUACUUCCUCCCUAUUUUUUAGAAUAGUACUGAUGGCACCUUCGAUAAAUUAGCUCUUUCCGUUAGUUUACCGUUGAUUUUUUAAAUGAUAAAAAAAUCUAUUAACAUUCCCUUUAAUCAUAAAUUGUGAAAAUAUAUACACUUCUCUGAGGGGGUUUUUGUGCAUCAACUCAUGAAUCAAUAUUAAAUAACUCUACUUAAUUUUUGUCAUGUUGGUCACAUGUUUGUCUUCUUAUCAUUAUAACCUACGUUAGUUUUUUACCAACAUUAAAAGCCAAUUUUUGUACCACUAUUAAUGCCACAAAUUUCUUGUAUUAAUUAAAAAUUGCAGAGCUCGCGUACACAAACAAAGUGACAGAAAAGUGUGACGUUUAUAGCUUUGGAGUGGUGAGUUUGGAAGUAUUGAUGGGAAGACAUCCAGGAGAAGCCCUUCUAUCUUUACAAAGUUCCCCUCAAAAGGGUAUUGAGAUGAAAGAAUUGUUGGAUUCUCGGCUUGCAUACCCUCGAAGAGGGAAGCUUUUAAGUGAAUUGAGUUCACUUGUGAGUAUAGCAAUAUCUUGUGUGCAGGCUGACCCUCAGUUACGCCCCACUAUGUAUUCUGUCUGCCAUCAGAUGGGAUUGAGAAAAAGUGCCUUCAUUAGAGAGGAGUCUGUUUGAAAGAAAAGCGUCGUUUUAGUUCGAUUCUUCAUUCAUACCGUUGUUGUAUUAAAAAAAAUUAAAAUAAUUAAAUUUACAUCAAUAAAUGCAUGAAAUAUAAUAUAUGAUUUUGCUAUUUGGAUCAUAACACACUAUUGCCUUUUAUUUUUUAACGUAUCACAUUGGAGCAGACCAUGUGUAUACUCAAUCGCGAUAACAUCUUUAUCCCAUUUUUUAUCUAUGUUGUGUUUUCAAGUUUUUCUCACUGUUAGUUAUUUUUUGGGUGAGAAAAAUGAAAUUUCGCCACAGGGUAUGACCAUUGUGUUAGGACUACAUCGCACAAUCAUCUCUAAAGAUGUAUAUAAUAUAGUGUUUGUUAUGUUUUUCUAUCCAUUUUUCGAAUUGUUCGUAUGACAGUGAAAAAAAAAGAUUGGGAGUCUCUACUAUCGCCCUAAGCAGUGACAUUCACGUACUAAAAUGUAAAUAAACUGAUGAUUUUUUCUUGUUACUUCGUAAUUUGCUGAAUCUAACUUUUUCACUCUCCAUUCAAAUGUACCUUUCAUUUUAGGCACAGGCAAUAGCCCAGGGCAUGGGUGUGAUAUUUACAUUCAUAUUCUUUUAGUUAAGUUAUAAAAAAGCAUGUGCCCCAAAAACUUAAUUGUGCUUGCUAUCAACAAUAAACAUUCACAUGUACCAAUUAUUUGGUUAUAGUGAUCGAUAUUAAAAUGAGAUUACAUUAACUCAUGAGGACAGAAAAUUUUCUUUGAGAAAAUGUAAAGAAAGAGGGCAUUACUUUUACUAAUGCUUUGACAUGCAUGUAACCCUAGAAAGGUUAGGCCAACUAAGCAUUAAAAUUUCUUUAUGGUUUAAUGUUGAUCAUCAAAUACAUGUUUUUUUUAUAAUUAUUUUGGCCUAACCUUAUAUUUACUUUCACAAAGAUUCUCAAAGAUUUGAUAGCUCUCUCUUACACAUACAAGGCUUUGUUAAGAAAACCACUUUGAUUUUGUCCAUAGUCUCGCCUCACCAUGUAUAGUUACUUGAAUAUUUGGGAACCACUGACAACCAGUAAUCUCAUAUCUAUUUAUUUCACCCAAAAAUAAACGAGACAAUAAUAAUUGAUAAUAGACUAUUGUGAUUUAUUUAUUAUUAACAUUUUUGGUGGACAUGACAUGACCAUACAUGUGAGGUUUUGAUUGAAUUUAGGGUUACUACGACCCAUCUUGAUGUUCUUUUGGACUUGCAUUGACUAUAAUUAAAUUAUAUAUAUAGAAACAUACAAGAGUCGUUGUCAAGUAGAGACAGGGUGCUAAAUUUUUCCCGUUGAUAUUUUCUUGUGUAACAUGGAUUGAUAUAGACACAAGGGGUAUUAAUGUUAAAAUAUGGAUUAAAGCAUAAAGUGGGAGAAUCGAAUAUCUGACUUUAAAGAAGGAAACAAGCAGAUCAUAGUGCGUAUGGGAAUCCCCAAACGGGCUAGAGCGAAGCCCAAUGGUACAUAACCAUUAAUCAAAAUUAAUAACAUAAAUAUUAGGGUAAUUGUAAUUGAUGGCUAUUUUAGUAAUAAUAAUUAAAGAUAUAGCAAUAUUUUAAAAAAUUUGUAAAUAUAGCAAAACUAUCGCUGAUAAACUUGUAUCAUUGAUAGAGUGAUAGACCAAUAUUUGCAACAUGGUCUAUCGAUGAUAAACUCCUAUCAUGGAUAGAAUUUGAUAAAAUUUUGUUAUAUUCUUAAUUAUUUUGAAUCUAAUUGCUAAAUUUGCAACUAUCCCUAAAUAUUAUGUUAAUUGAGUUACAUUAUACUCAUUUUAACAAUAUAUGUAGAUAGUUUUUCGUUGGAUAUACUCAUGUCCGAUGUUUUCUUUCAAAGAAUAAUAAUACAAAAGGUUAAUUAAUUGACAUGGAAACUGAGCUUUUGUUUGGAUUGGACAUCUAGAUUACCGUAUUUGUUUUACAAUACUGAGAUGUUCUGUGUUUUGAUGUUUAGAGAUUUUGGAAUUGGGUCCAUUCUCAUUUUAUAUUUUAGCCAUUUUUAAUUUUUUUCACAUAUAUAUUAAUCUUCAUUUUACACUAUAUAAUUAAAAUAAAUAGGGUCAACUAUUGACAUUGUUUUUUUUUUAUUAUAUCAUAUUUCUUAGUGUUAUUUUUUUAUGAGAUAUUCAAAAUUCAAAAUUUAUCUAUUUUAUAAAAUCUAUCAUGCUAUAUUAUUUUGUUAUAUAAAAGUAAUGUAAAUUUUAUUAUUUUAAAAGAAAAUUCAAGUAGAUAAAAAUAAGUGACUUAUUUUUAAAUAUAAAAAAAAUGAAAAAAAAUAUUUAUAAAAAUAAAUACAACGUUCUUAGAUUUUAUUUAACAUAUUUUGUACAUCAAGAAGAUAAAAAAAAACCCUCUUUUUCAUGCAACUUUCUAACAUAUUAUUUUAUAACAAAAAGAAAAAAAGAAAAAAAAAGAACAUCAAACAAAGAAACGAAUAUAUAAACAAGAGAAAAGUAUUACAUAAAGGAUCAAGAUAUAUGAUCACAUCUAUAUUUAUUGAAAUGGAAACAUUACAUAAAAAACAGACCACUAACACACUAACUAUAUACAUACAUAGACCACAAGUACUCGUCCCAACCUAAUUACAAUUCUCCCUUGAUCAAUCACAUUAAGCCAAGACCACUAACUCCUAAACAAAAGCGAAUAGCAUAGAAAUCAACCACUAAUUCUAUUACUUACAAACUACAUUUGCACUUAUUAUUCUUAAACACAUUUUAGAUAAUCUGUUUGAACUGACGUUUCAAGGGUUUAUACCUCAAAGUAGUUUUUCUUCUAAAGCACUUGAAAAGAAAUUUCAAAGAGGCCCUUAGAUACUUGUAGUUUAUAUUACACUUUAGGACACUAUAUUCAUAUAUUAUUGUCCAUAUAUUUUUCUCUAAGUUUUAACUUUCUCCUUUUGCUGAGAUGUUUGCUUUUGAGGUCCUCCUCCUCCCCAUCCACCACCCCAUUGACUACCGUAGGAGCCGGGGUCCCAUGGAUUCUCCAAAGCUUCCUGAGUUCCAUAUCGUUGUCCUUAACAAAAAAGAAGAAAAAACAUAAUAAAUUAAUUUUGUGUUCUUAAGGUUAUUUAUUGUAUGUUAUAUACUUCUUUCUUAAUUUUUUUUAUUUAUAACAAGGGCAUAACUUCAACCAUAAUUAACCAACAUUCUUCUGUUAGAGAUGGAAGUAAUUCAAAUCUUCAUGCUUAAACAUUUGAAUUUUUAGUCAAAAUUUUACGGAAAUGAUUGAUGUAGACUAUCAAACAUAUGGACAUGAUUUUUAAAACAACUCCUAAAAAAUAAGCAAUAAAUUAAAAAAAUCGAAGGAGCAUCGUGUUCAUCUAAGCUUAAUUCUUAAAAACAAAUGUGUGGCUCUAGAUAAUUUGAAAGAAGAAUGUGAACUACUUUUACUGCUCUCUUUCUGUCCUGAUCUGUUAUUCCUUCUCGAGUUCAAAAAAGCAAAUCAAGCUCAAGACAUGGGAUAAAUUUAAUCGGAAUAAUUGGUUUAGACGUAAAGAUCACUAGAAUAUAUGAAUUUAAUUACUAUAAAGUACUUGGACGAAUCAUAACUUGUUUUUAAACGAAACCUAUCAACGAAUGGUCGAUUAAUUUUCUAAUGUACAAAAUUUGGCCUCGACGUUUUUCUGUAGAGUCCAAAAUGUUUGUAAAAAAUUUCCCAACAUUACUUUGUGUUUCAGAGUUGGAAAAGGCUUUCCCGAAAAGCAGUUUUCGUCAGAAAAAUCUCCGUUACGCUUUUCUUGGACUUUUCCCAACUCUUGUCAUCCAUUGGAAACAAAUUUGAAUGUUCAUUGAAGGACCAAAAUAUGAGGAACUGUUAAACUAAUAAAAACCUAAAACAGAUUUGAGUAUUAAAUAAAAACAUGGGCUGUAUAAUUUUUUCUUGAACUUAAAUGAAAUGUAUGAAAUAAAUAUCAACAAUAUAUUUAUACACAAUGAAUAUGUUGGUGCAAAUAUGGUAAAUAUGAUUUAAAUUUGGAAAUUAGAAAUUUGAGUUGGGGGAUGAAAACAGUAUACCAUUAACAUUAGGAGAUGUAAGCAAAUGCCUUUUUGAGGUGACAGUGGUAGUGAAGAGAAGCAGAAGACUAAAGACAAUAGCAACUAUUGUUGAGAAGUGCUUCUUGGAAGCCAUUUUUUUUUUCUUUUAUAUACUUCUUAUUUUUGU
This 11113-nucleotide long non-coding RNA is filed under the name Cucumis sativus (cucumber). RNAcentral describes it as "long non-coding RNA (CSAT_LNC001797)". The record is from RNAcentral. Lineage: Eukaryota; Viridiplantae; Streptophyta; Magnoliopsida; Cucurbitales; Cucurbitaceae.